UACGUAGGGGGCAAGCGUUGUCCGGAUUUAUUGGGCGUAAAGAGCGUGUAGGCGGCCAGGUAGGUCCGUUGUGAAAACUGGAGGCUUAACCUCCAGCUGUCGAUGGAAACCAUCUGGCUAGAGUCCGGAAGGGGAGACUGGAAUUCCCAGUGUAGAGGUGAAAUUCGUAGAUAUUGGGAAGAACACCGGUGGCGAAGGCGGCUCUCUGGACCGAGACUGACGCUGAGGCGCGAAAGCGUGGGGAGCAAACAGG
This 253-nucleotide ribosomal RNA is filed under the name uncultured bacterium. RNAcentral describes it as "partial 16S ribosomal RNA". It matches the Rfam family "Bacterial small subunit ribosomal RNA", at positions 524 to 776 of the family's 1533-position model. The record is from RNAcentral.